GGUGGGGGAAAACGGUCCCUCAGCCUGGAUUGUGAGAGGGUGCAGGCCAGGCCAAGGGACCCCAUUGAUGCACA
Non-coding RNA from Myotis lucifugus (little brown bat), 74 nucleotides. The record is from Rfam. NCBI's taxonomy places the organism in Eukaryota, Metazoa, Chordata, Mammalia, Chiroptera, Vespertilionidae.